Molecule: long non-coding RNA, 7340 nt
Filed under: Zostera marina
Lineage: Eukaryota; Viridiplantae; Streptophyta; Magnoliopsida; Alismatales; Zosteraceae
Description: long non-coding RNA (ZMAR_LNC001179)
Source: RNAcentral
ACAGUAGACAUCAUCAUGUGGCUCUUCAUCAUGUGAUAAGUCAUUGGCAUCGACAUCAUCAUGUGACUCUUCAUCAUGUGAUAAGUCAUUGGCAUCGACAUCAUCAUGUGGCUCUUCAUCAUCUUGUGGCUCUUCAUUGACAUCGACUUCAUCGUCGUAAUACAUCUUAUCAUUCUCUUGGUAUAAAACAUCGUCAUCCCUAAUUGUGAUUGGAUAAAAUCUGAAUGGAAAAGCAACAAAAAUUAAAAAAUAGUAAGAAAAAUAGGGAAAAGGAAUAAGGAAUUAAGGAUUAAUAUUAUAUUUAAGGAUAUUUUAUUUCAACAGUAAGGGAAGGAUUAAAGAUUAAUAUUUUCAGUAAAGGAAUAUUUUAUUCCAAUGUGUCAUUCUUCUCACAUGUGAGUUAUGACUAUGUGAGUAUUUUAAAAAUAUUCACAAUAGACAUCAUCAUGUGGCUCUUCAUGUGAUAAGUCAUUGGUAUCGACAUUAUCAUGUGGCUCUUCAUCAUCUUGUGGCUCUUCAUCAUCUUGUGGCUUUUCAUUGACAUCGACUUCAUCGUCCAUCGACUUCAUCGUCGUAAUACAUCUUAUCAUUCUCUUGGUAUAAGUCAUCAUCAUAAGUCAUCGUCAUCCCUAAUUGUGAUUGGAUAAAAUAUAUCUGAAUGGAAAAGUAACAAAAAUUAAAAAAUAGUAAGGGAAAUAGGGAAAAGGAAUAAGGAAUUAAGGAUUAAUAUUAUAUUUAGGGAUAUUUUAUCCCAACAGUAAGGGAAGGAUUAAGGAUUAAUAUUUUCAGUAAGGGAAUAUUUUAUUCCAACAUGUGUCAUUCUUCUCACAUGUGAGUAUUUUAAAAAUAUUCACAGUAGAGCAUAAAACAUGUGGUUGCUUCUUACCCAUGUACCGCAUGUAAAAAUAUUAAAUAUCCACAUGUCACAGCAUUCACAUAAGGAAGACAAGUGGUUGCUUCUUAAUUCUUAUAUAGAGUGGUUGUGUCAUUAAAUAUUUACAUGUCAUAUGGUGGUUGCGUUUUAAAUAUUUACAAACGCAACACGCUUUUUAAAUAAACGCAACACGAGUAGAGGUGGUUACCGUUUUUUUAAGCAACGUCAGGAGAGGAGUCCGUGUGCUGCUCGCGCUCAUGUCAGGUAUGUGCUCGCCUCUCUACUCACGUUUUUUUAUGUUAUGGACUCUGGACUAUUUUAUGCGGGGAUUUUAGUUUUUUUUUUAUUAUUAUUUUUUAUAAUUCGGGUAAAACCCGAUGACCCCACCCGAUGACCCGACUCGCCAAACGCAUAGAACAUCUAUGCGGAGGUCUGGAAAACUGCAUGGUCGUUUAUGCGGCGCAUAAACGACGUAUAGAAAACCAUGUAUGCUAGUAUUAUUAUCCUUGAUUCUCCUUCUUCUUUGGUGAAGAAGGCAUAGUUUGAUUUUGUUUGUUUGAAACCUAGUGUUUUUAAUGCAUUGUUUAGUUUUUGAAACCACAUUCUAGAGGCUUGUUUUAGACCAUAUAGUGAUUUCUUUAACUUACAAACCAUGUUCUUGUUUUGUGGUUUUUGAUUUUCAUUUGUCAGGCCUUGUGGAAUUUUUAUGAAGACUUCCUCAUUUAAUUCUCCAUGUAAAAACGCAUUUUGUACGUCCAUUUGAUGUAAAUGCCAUUUGUUCUUGACUGCUAGGGCUAUCAAGGUUCUUAGUGUGGUCAUCCUUGAUACAUGGGCAAAUGUAUUAGUGUAAUCUAUCCCUUCCACUUGACUGUAUAUCUUGACAACUAAUCUGGCCUUAUAUCUCUCUAGUGUUCCAUCUGAGUUAAAUUUUACUUUGUAAACCCAUUUGUUUCCUAUUGCUUUCUUACAUUCUAGUAGUUCUACAAUUUCCCAAGUAUAAUUCUUUUAAAGCUUUUAACUCUUUAUUCAAUUGCUUCACAUCAGUUUUCAUCUUUAAUGGUCUGUAUGUAUGUUUUUGGUUCCUUUAUUGAACUUAUUUCUAUGAGAAAAUUAGUUUCGUGUUUCUCUGAGAAGUUGUCAUAUAUGAGAUGUAGUUUUCUAUUGGGUAAUUGGAUUUGUUUGCAUUAUAGCCAAUGUAGUCCUCAUACAUUUUUGGCUUUUUUGUUUUUUUGUUUGGUCUGGUGGUGUUUGGUUCUAUUUCUUUUCUUUUGAUUUUGUGGUGAUUUUGGUGUUGGUGUUUGUGUUAUUGGCAUUCUUUAUGUCUCUUAUUAGGUUUUGAACUUCCUUUGGUUUCUCUUGAUUUUUAAAUGAGAAUACUGUUUCAUAGAAUGUUACAUCUUUGUGUUAUAAAAAUUGUUUCUAUUUCUAUGUCUAGGAUCUUAUAUCCUUUACUUUUUAUUGAGUAUCCAAGGAAUAAUCCCUUGAUUGCUCUUGGCUCAAAUUUGUCUGUUGUUUUGUUAUUUUUGGCAUAGCAUAGACAUCCAAAAACCUUUAGAGUGUUAUCACUACAGGGUUAUAAAAUAAAUUACCAAAAACAAUGACUGAUAUGCAUGUUACAAAAUAAAUCUCACAAAAAAUCACUUACAAGGUUAGGCUUUUCGGAUUUUCAAUGAUCUUUGGAAAUGUCAGUGGAAAGGUUGCUAACUCAGCACCAUAAAUAAUAAACUAAAUGGAUCAUUGGUUUUUUAUUAACCAAUCAUCCAACUUAAUAAACUAAAAAACAGAAUAGGGAUGAGUAUGGAAUCAAGAUGCGAUCGGUACACAUGGGAAUCAAAUUUUCAUUACUUUAGGUAGGUUUUGAUGUAGCUCCCGACAUCGUUUAAGUUCCCUGUUGGACUUUGACGUUUCUCUAUAUAUUAAGGAGGCCGAUGGGGAUGGAAUCAAAAUAUGAAACUCUAAAUAUUAAAUCUGUCUCCAUAAUUGGUAUUGGGGGAUUUCGAAGAAAAAAAAACAUGAUCUGGAAUAAGUUGGACAGGAAGAACACAAAAGUUUGAAAAACAAAAGUUGGACAGAGAAAUAGCGAUUGAGAAGAUUGAGAAGUUGGACAGAAGAUUAAAAUUAAUAACCGGCUGGAGUGGAGCUUGAAAUUUUUUCUUGAGAAGAUUGAGAAGAAAGAUUUGGGUAUAAGGGUUUACGAUUUGGGUAUAAGGGUUUGGGAUUUUUUAUGGGUGAAUUUUCAUAAACUACCUUAAGAUAAAUAUAAUUUAAUAAAAUAACCUUAUAAUUUAUAUUAAUUAGUAUAAAAUUAUUUGGGGAAGUGAAAGUGAAAUGAAAAAAAGAAGGGAAUGAAAAUUAAUUUUAUUUAAUAGUUAUACUUAGCGACGAUAAAUUUUAAAUCAUCGCUAAUUAUACAAAAAAAAAAAGAUAAUUAACGACAAUAUUUCAAAUUCCUUCAUGAAUUUUAGUGUAUAUUCUGGUUCUUUGUUGAAAAGUAGACAGUAGGGUGUUUUGUUUUGUAUAACAUGUAAAGGUGUUCUGUUUAUUAAGAAUGUUGUUGUAAGUAUGCAUUCUCCCUAAUAUUUGAUUGGAGUUUGUGAGUGAUACAUUAUUCUUCUAGCCACAUUUAGUAGAUGUCUGUGCUUACUUUCUGCAAUUGAGUUUUGUUGUGGGGUAUAUGCAUGGGCAUGUUAAUUGAUGCCUUAUACCGUGUGUUUUUAGAAAAUCUUGGAAUGUGUUAGCUAUGAAUUCAGAUCCACUGUUUGUCAUAAUCAUUUUUAUUUUUGUUUGGAAUUGAUUCAUGCAGAGUAAAGUUUCUGAAAUUUUCAAAAGCAUUGCUUUUGUUUCUCAUCAUGAUUGUCCAAGUUGUCCUAGAAUAAUCAUCUACUAUUGUUAAGAAGUACUUAUGACCUUUAUGUGUAACUACUUUAUAUGAGCUCCAAAUAUCAAGAUAUAAUAACUCAAUUUUUUUUGCAGUUUUAGAAUUACUGGUUGGAAAAGAAAAUCUAGUAUGUUUUGCCAUAGGGCAAUCAUUACAUAUAAUAUCAUCUAAUUUAGGAAUAGCAUUGUUUAUCUUCCUAAUUAAAUCAUAUCUAAUAGAGGAUGGAUGGCCCAAUCUUUUGUGCCAUAUGCUAGCUGAAGGAUUCUAGCUUGUUGACAGAGAGUAGACUUUUGGGUAUUCCAGGUUUUCUUUUGUUCCUUCAAAGAGUGUAUAAAGCCCAUUAAUCCUUCUACCCAUAGAAAUCAAGUUUCCCUUCGAAUCCUGUAUCAAGCAAUGAUCAGGAUAAAAUGAGAAACAACAUUUUAAUUGUUUUGUCAAUUUUGUUACUGAGAUCAAAUUGACAUUGAAAUCAGUGAUUUUUAGGACAUUUUAUAAUGUCAAAUUGUUGUUAAUCUUGUAUUUUCUAAUAUAAUUCACAUAUGCUAUUUAUGAAUUUGGAAGAUGAACAACAAUAGGUUUUGUAAGACUUUUCUGAUCAGUAAGUAUGAUAUUUGAACCACACAUGUGAUCAGUUGUACCACUGUCAAUUAUCCAAGUGGUGGUAUUCUUACUGUGGGUAUUGAAAUAUAAUGAGUGAUUCUUACCAGUAAGAUUGGGGUUUUUGUGCCUCUGGAGGGUGUUGUGUUUGUACCCUUCCCAUGUUUACAUAAUGCAUGCCUCUCCCCUUCAGCUGUUUGUCCUUGAUUUUGAUUGAGAAAAUUCUUGAUUUGCUCUAUAAUAUCUGCAUUACUUUGCUGUCCUGUUUCAAUUUGGUUUUCAUGUUGAUAGGAGACAUUAUUUGCCCAUUGCUCUUGUUCCCAUCCUUCUUCAGUAGUGUUGUAAUCUUGACUUUGCAUAUUUGACCCAUAGCUGUUGUUGUUUUCUUGCCAAUGUGGAGUUUCAUACUCUUUAGAAUAAGAGUUGUAAACUCUAAACUCUUGGUUGUGGCCUUUGGGGUCUAAAAUUGUUGUUGUUGUUUGGACGGUACCUAUUUCUAAAAUUUUGGAAAUUUUGCCCCCUUGCUUGCUGGUUGGGAGGUCUGAAAUAUCUCCUUUGUUGGUUGUAUUGUGAGAUCAUUGAUUGAGUGAGUGGUCUUAAUUGGACCUUGUUGGUAUGUUGGUCUUUCUGUUAGAUACCCAUGUAGUUGAUAGCAUGUAUUGAUUGUGUGACCUGACCUUUUACAUCCAUUACAAUAAGGCCUUUCUCCUUGUGGCUUUGGUAGCCUGUAGGGCGCUUGAGCCAGUAGUGCUGUUGCUGAUUCUCUUGGUGUUUCCAAGUCUCUCUGUUGUUCAUCCUGGGUUACCAUAGAGUAUGCCUUGUUCAGAUCAUACUGGAGUUCAGUAAGUAUGAUUUGCCUACCUACUUGUUUGUAGCAGCCGUUUAAUCUAUUUAUAAACUUUAUUAGUCUUUCCUCUUGUUUGACUUCAACACUCUUCCUGUUCAUGUCAUAAUCAUUCCAUAAUUUUGUAAGUUUUGUGUGAUAACUGCAAACCGAGUCUUCACCCUGUGUUAGGUUGAAGAUUUUGACUUGUAGUUGAUAGACUAGGGGUCCAUUUUGUAUAUGGAACCUUUCUUUCAAUUCUUUCCAUAAGAGGUAUGAUGUUUUGUAGAACAAAAAUGCCGAUGAUAAUUUCUGGCUCAAACCAUUGAGUAUCCAGGACCUUACAAGUGCAUUUGUUGCUUUCCACCUCUGGUGUUUUGCUUGUUCAGUUACUAUGUCGGGCUCUUGUUCUUCACCUGUUAGGAUUUUUUUCUUGUUUUUGGACUCUACAUCUAUUAUAAACUGUGUACUCCAAAUUGUCCAGUUGUUUCUAUCCAUUUUGAAUGGCACCAACUGUGUUGCUGGAUUGUCUGAAUAUUGAUAUAUGACAUUUUCGUUUGCUAUUUCUAUUUUUGCCUCUGAAAAAAAAUAAUUAAAAUGCAGAAAAUGAAGCUGAGUCAAAAUUUAAAAAUAUUGGUGGUGAAGGUAUGGAAUGUAUGGAUCACGUGAUUGUCCCUAAACAGUUUCCUGUUUAUCAACCUCCUUUUGAUCGUGUGGCUUGGAAUAAUAUGGCUUGGGCUGGGAGAGUAUAUGAUGAUCCUAGGAGUGGGUGGGUUUAAUUAUAUGAGGGAAAAUGAGAAUCCUGAUUUUAUGGAUGAUGAUCCAGAUGAGGGGCCUCAACCAUUUGAUGUAUGAGAUCCUGAUGAACGGAAUGGGAGAUUUGAUGAGAUGUAUAAUGAUGAUGAAGGGGCGGGUGGUAUUUACGGAUUUAGUGAUGAUGAGAGGGUUGCAGAGAAUGAAGAUUACUGUAUUUUUAAGUGUGAGAAGGGUGAUUCAGUAAGAGAUUUGAAGAGAAAAAGGAGGAAGGCUGCUCUCAUGGCAGUUUAUAAAGAUAAGGCUAUAUCCCGUGGGGUUUGGGAUGGAGAGUAUCCUUCUCGUCUCUUGAUGAUUAUGUUUAUAUAAGUAAGUUAAGUCCUUAACUGGGUGGUGGUUGUUUAACUCUUUCCUUUGUGGAAGGUAGAAGAUAACUUUUAAGUAUGAUAAAUUAUUCUCCUCUCUCUUUUUUUGUGUGUAUAUAUGCUGAUGUUUUGAGAAAAAAAAAAUGGGAGAUUAGAAAAUGAUAUUUGUAUUUUGAUGAUGUUUGAAAAAAACAGGAAUGUGAUUUUGGGAAAAAAACAGGAAUGUAAUAUGUAAGGAAAAAUAUGAAUGAAUAUUUUGUGGAUCUUAUUACUCUGAUAACAUGUUAGAAUUAUAUAAUAUGUGUGAUUGGAAAUAUGACAAUAUGAUUUAAGAUUGUAUAUUAAUUUGAUAUGUGUGACCGAGAUGAAUAUUGCAAGAGACUAAAUAUGUCUGAUAUUGAAUAUGAUAUAACUUAUGAAUGUAAAUACAAUGUCUGAUAUUUGAUACAGAAUAGGAUGAUUUAUAGAUGUAUAUAGAUACUGAAUAUAAAAUAUGAUGUCUGAUAUUUGAUAUAGAGUAGAAUGAUUUAUAGAUGCAGGAGGUAAAUAUAUAUCAAUACUGUUUCAAGAAGUGCAGAUCGAAUGAACUGAAGAUCCUGAUUGAAGAUUGAAUAUGAUGUAGCGCUGACUGGGAUCGAGAGUCACAAGAUUGUAGAUCACAGAGAUGUUGAAGAAGACUUGAGAUUCCGGUUGUCAAUAGACAGAAGCCAAUAUCAAAGUAACAGAUUGCAGGAUUUGAAAUAGAUGGGUUUUGCUAUAUUUAUAGAUGGGUUUAGUGAACGGCUAUAGAAUUAGUGAACGGCUAUAUUUGCCUUAAAUUGGUAGUUGGAAGUUCUAGAAAUUUGUAAUGGUAUGUUAAGUAGUGUAAUUAAUUAUGUAAUGUUCUAUUUGUAACAUUACAUAAAUAUAUCCUGACACACAUAGUGAACGAGACCUUUUACCUAUUAUUAGAAAUCACAGUAAAGUGAGAAUUAAUAAUAUUUGUGCGAUUGUAAAUGUUAUUAUAAGAGAGUAAAUUGGUAUUUACAUCAUCAGUAAUUAUGAGUGAGA